RNAcentral lists this ribosomal RNA (549 nucleotides) under uncultured bacterium. Its description in RNAcentral is "bacterial SSU rRNA". It matches the Rfam family "Bacterial small subunit ribosomal RNA", at positions 202 to 752 of the family's 1533-position model. The record is from RNAcentral.
UAAAGAAUUUCGGUAUGGGAUGGGGAUGCGUUCCAUUAGUUAGUUGGCGGGGUAACGGCCCACCAAGACAACGAUGGAUAGGGGUUCUGAGAGGAAGGUCCCCCACAUUGGAACUGAGACACGGUCCAAACUCCUACGGGAGGCAGCAGUGAGGAAUAUUGGUCAAUGGACGAGAGUCUGAACCAGCCAAGUAGCGUGAAGGAUGACUGCCCUAUGGGUUGUAAACUUCUUUUAUAUGGGAAUAAAACGUUCCACGUGUGGAAUUUUGUAUGUACCAUAUGAAUAAGGAUCGGCUAACUCCGUGCCAGCAGCCGCGGUAAUACGGAGGAUCCGAGCGUUAUCCGGAUUUAUUGGGUUUAAAGGGAGCGUAGGUGGAUUGUUAAGUCAGUUGUGAAAGUUUGCGGCUCAACCGUAAAAUUGCAGUUGAAACUGGCAGUCUUGAGUACAGUAGAGGUGGGCGGAAUUCGUGGUGUAGCGGUGAAAUGCUUAGAUAUCACGAAGAACUCCGAUUGCGAAGGCAGCUCACUGGACUGCAACUGACACUGAGGC